UGUUUUUUUUAAACAUGAAGCGGGGUCCAGAAAAAAAAACAGAAUUUCCCUGAAGUAAUCAAGCAGCUAUAACUUCAUUAAUUCUAAUGGACUAAUGUGCCCUCCCCUGGCGGGGGAAGAAAAAAUGCGCCAAGUCGUGGGGUUAUCAAGCAAAUAACCUUGCUUAGCAUUCUACAGGAAACGCCUUAUCAACAGAACCACUAAGCGUGUUUACCAAGUCUCCACUUUAAAUUUCUUAUCAUCACUUUGGUAUUCCAUGGCCUGGAAUUUCCAGAUUUAAAGCUUCCCAAUAACUCUGGAGAGUUUACAACUUUUAACUUUUCUUUAAAAAAAAUGUUGCUCUUUUAUUACCUUUGCCAACGUAUUUGAAAAGAUUUUCCCAAUUUUGUCAUUUUGUACAAACAUAUUUUUAUAAUUCUUAAAACCCUUAGUUAUUCAUUUUUUAAAAUGAUGCUAAGAUAUUCUGAAAUCUCUCAUCACACUAAGUGAUUUAUUGACCACAUGAACAAAAAACAGAUAAAUUGAUCAGUUUUUUUUAAUUUUCGAAAAUUUGAACUCAUUUCCGUUACGUUAUAAUAUAUUUGAGAUCAGGUUUUCCAAGUCCCAUAAAGAAUUCUCCCUUUUUGUUACUUAAUCUAACAAUUUCUCACUUCUUGAAAUAUUUAAAAUCAUGUUAGUGAAUUUAUUCUUUGUAGGUCGGAGUUUUCUUGCAAUAAGUAAAAUUAAUAAUUUGUAAAAUUCAUUACAAAAAUUAUAAUUUAUUUUAUUGUAUUAUUCUGAAAUUUAUUAUGGUGGCUCAAAAUUUUAGUUUAACUAUAACUUCAGUCAUCAAAUUUCCUAUUUUAUUUAAAAAUAUAAUUUGGAAUCAGUUAAGUAUUAUUUUGCACUUUGUUUUAAAUAAAAUUUGUUAAUUAAUUAAUGUAAA
Molecule: long non-coding RNA, 925 nt
Organism: Drosophila willistoni
Lineage: Eukaryota; Metazoa; Arthropoda; Insecta; Diptera; Drosophilidae
Exons: 2
Source: RefSeq, a predicted model, not a curated record